AACUUUUUGAUGAUGUUCAGAGCAUUUUAUUAUUUAACCUAAUGCCACAUAAGAAUCGCUAAUCAUAUAUAUAUAUAUAACUUGGUAUAUAAUAGAUAAGAAUGAAAAAGGAUUUUUAAUCUUGUGAGAUGUAAUAAAAAACUAGUAAACAAUAGACAACUAACAAAAGUUGGGUUGUGCAGUAACUGCCGGUAAAGUGGAGAAGCUUGGAAAAACUUUAAACAAAAAAUUGCGGUUAGAGAGAGAGAUAGAGCCGUCCAAAAACAAGGCGUAGAUGUCUAUCCCACGCGCAAUCAAACCCUCUUGCUACAUCUCAAUCUUCUUCUUCUCCCUCUCCUUAUAUCAUCAUUUUGCACCC
RNAcentral lists this long non-coding RNA (358 nucleotides) under Brassica napus (rape). RNAcentral's name for it is "long non-coding RNA (BNAP_LNC019246)". The record is from RNAcentral. Lineage: Eukaryota; Viridiplantae; Streptophyta; Magnoliopsida; Brassicales; Brassicaceae.